RNAcentral lists this ribosomal RNA (406 nucleotides) under uncultured bacterium. Its description in RNAcentral is "partial 16S ribosomal RNA". It matches the Rfam family "Bacterial small subunit ribosomal RNA", at positions 30 to 526 of the family's 1533-position model. The record is from RNAcentral.
AUUGAACGCUGGCGGCAGGCCUAACACAUGCAAGUAGAACUAGUCGCGGACUGGUGAGUAAUGUCUGGGAAACUGCCUGAUGGAGGGGGAUAACUACUGGAAACUGUAGCUAAUACCGCAUACCAUCUGAUGUGCCCAGAUGGGAUUAGCGAUUAGGUGGGGUACCGCCUCACCUAGUCGACGAUCCCUAGCUGGUCUGCGAGGAUGACCAGCCACACUGGAACUGAGACACGGUCCAGACUCCUACGGGAUGCAGGAGUGGGGAAUAUGGCACAAGGGGCUCAAGCCUGAUGCAGCCAUGACGAAUGUGUGAAGAAGGCUUUGGGGUUGUAGAGUACUUUCAGCGGGGAGGCGUUACCCGUAGAAGAAGCACCGGCUAACGCCGUGCCAGCAGACGCGGUAAUAC